RNAcentral lists this long non-coding RNA (786 nucleotides) under Vitis vinifera (wine grape). RNAcentral describes it as "long non-coding RNA (VVIN_LNC006388)". Lineage: Eukaryota; Viridiplantae; Streptophyta; Magnoliopsida; Vitales; Vitaceae. The record is from RNAcentral.
UUCAGUUCAUGGUGAAGGGUUCCAAUCCCCCCAAAAAUUGGGAACAACUUGUAGCAACUCUGCAGAUGAAACUGACUCUGCAUCUGAUCCUUCAAAUCCUCUCCUAUCUGCUGAACAAGUCCUUUCAGUUGAAACUUGUGGCAACAAAGCCCUUGUGUGUUCAGCUCAUGGUGAAGGGUUCCAAUCCCCUCAAAAAUUUGGAACAACUUGUAUUAAAUCUGCAGAUGAAACUGACUGUGCAUCUGAUCCUUUGAAUCCUCCCCUGUAUGCUGAACAAGUCCUUUUAGUUGAAACUUGUGAGAUCAAAACACCUGCUUGUUCAGUUCAUGGUGAAGGGUUCCAAUCUCCCCAAAAAUUGGGAACAAGUUGUAGUAACUCCGCAGAUGAAACUGACUGUGCGUCUGAUCCUUUGAACCCUCUCCUGUCUGCUGAACAAGUCCUUCCAGUUGAAACUUGUGAGAACAAAGCACCUGCUUGUUCAGUUCAUUGUGAAGGGUUCCAACCCCUGGAAAAAUUGGGAACAAGUUGUAGUAACUCUGCAGAUGAAACUGACUCUGCAUCUGAUCCAUUGAAUCCUCUCCUGUCGACUGAACAAGUCCUUCCAGUUGAAACUAAUGAGAACAAAGCACCUGCUUGUUCAGUUCAUGGUGAGGGGUUCCAAUCCCCUGAAAAAUUGGGAAAAACUUGUAGUGACUCUGCAGAUGAAACUGGCUGUGCAUCUGAUCCUUUGAAUCCUCUCCCAUCUGCUGAACAAGUCCUUUCAGUUGAAACUUGUGAAAACAAGGC